GUGGGGAAUCUUGCGCAAUGGGCGAAAGCCUGACGCAGCCAUGCCGCGUGAAUGAUGAAGGUCUUAGGAUUGUAAAAUUCUCUCACCGGGGACGAUAAUGACGGUACCCGGAGAAGAAGCUCCGGCUAACUUCGUGCCAGCAGCCGCGGUAAUACGAAGGGGGCUAGCGUUGCUCGGAAUUACUGGGCGGAACGGGCGCGUAGGCGGACAGCUUAGUCAGAGGUGAAAGCCCAGGGCUCAACCUUGGAAUUGCCUUUGAUACUGGCUGUCUUGAGUUUGGGAGAGGUGAGUGGAACUCCGAGUGUAGAGGUGAAAGUCGUAGAUAGUCGGAAGAACACCAGUGGCGAAGGCGACUCACUGGCCCAAUACUGACGCUGAGGCGCGAAAGCGUGGGGAGCAAACAGGAUUAGAUACCCCAGUAGUCC
This 425-nucleotide ribosomal RNA is filed under the name uncultured bacterium. Its description in RNAcentral is "partial 16S ribosomal RNA". It matches the Rfam family "Bacterial small subunit ribosomal RNA", at positions 354 to 796 of the family's 1533-position model. The record is from RNAcentral.